UACGUAGGUGGCAAGCGUUAUCCGGAUUUAUUGGGCGUAAAGAGAACGCAGGCGGUCUUUUAAGUCUGAUGUGAAAGCCUUCGGCUUAACCGGAGUAGUGCAUUGGAAACUGGGAGGCUUGAGUGCAGAAGAGGAGAGUGGAACUCCAUGUGUAGCGGUGAAAUGCGUAGAUAUAUGGAAGAACACCAGUGGCGAAAGCGGCUCUCUGGUCUGUAACUGACGCUGAGGUUCGAAAGCGUGGGUAGCAAACAGG
RNAcentral lists this ribosomal RNA (253 nucleotides) under uncultured bacterium. RNAcentral's name for it is "partial 16S ribosomal RNA". It matches the Rfam family "Bacterial small subunit ribosomal RNA", at positions 524 to 776 of the family's 1533-position model. The record is from RNAcentral.